Molecule: ribosomal RNA, 460 nt
Filed under: uncultured bacterium
Lineage: Bacteria
Description: partial 16S ribosomal RNA
Rfam family: Bacterial small subunit ribosomal RNA
Source: RNAcentral
CCUACGGGGGACAGCAGUGAGGACUAUUGGUCAAUGGACGAGAGUCUGAACCAGCCAAGUAGCGUGAAGGAUGACUGCCCUAUGGGUUGUAAACUUCUUUUAUAAAGGAAUAAAACGAGGCACGUGUGCCUUUUUGCAUGUACUUUAUGAAUAAGGAUCGGCUAACUCCGUGCCAGCAGCCGCGGUAAUACGGAGGAUCCGAGCGUUAUCCGGAUUUAGUGGGUUUAAAGGGAGCGUAGAUGGGUUGUUAAGUCAGUUGUGAAAGUUUGCGGCUCAACCGUAAAAUUGCAAUUGAUACUGGCAGUCUUGAGUACAGUUGAGGUAGGCGGAAUUCGUGGUGUAGCGGUGAAAUGCUUAGAUAUCACGAAGAACCCCGAUUGCGAAGGCAGCUUACUAAACUGUGACUGACAUUGAUGCUCGAAAGUGUGGGUAUCAAACAGGAUUAGAUACCCUGGUAGUC